UGGGGAAUUUUGCACAAUGGGGGAAACCCUGAUGCAGCGACGCCGCGUGAUUUAGAAGGCCUUCUGGUUGUAAAAAUCUUUUCUAUGGGAAGAAAAUGACAGUACCAUAGGAAUAAGGACCGGCUAAUUACGUGCCAGCAGCCGCGGUAAUACGUAAGGUCCGAGCGUUGUCCGGAAUCAUUGGGCGUAAAGGGUACGUAGGCGGGUAAGCAAGUUAGAAGUGAAAUCCUAUAGCUCAACUAUAGUAAGCUUUUAAAACUGCUCAUCUUGAGGUAUGGAAGGGAAAGUGGAAUUCCUAGUGUAGCGGUGAAAUGCGCAGAUAUUAGGAGGAAUACCGGUGGCGAAGGCGACUUUCUGGCCAUAACCUGACGCUGAGGUACGAAAGCGUGGGUAGCAAACAGG
This 402-nucleotide ribosomal RNA is filed under the name bacterium. RNAcentral describes it as "partial 16S ribosomal RNA". It matches the Rfam family "Bacterial small subunit ribosomal RNA", at positions 355 to 776 of the family's 1533-position model. The record is from RNAcentral.